This 482-nucleotide ribosomal RNA is filed under the name uncultured bacterium. RNAcentral describes it as "partial 16S ribosomal RNA". It matches the Rfam family "Bacterial small subunit ribosomal RNA", at positions 28 to 507 of the family's 1533-position model. The record is from RNAcentral.
GACGAACGCUGGCGGCGUGCUUAACACAUGCAAGUCGAACGCUGAAGCUCAGCUUUUGUUGGGUGGAUGAGUGGCGAACGGGUGAGUGACACGUGAGUAACCUGCCCCCUUCUUUGGGAUAACGCCCGGAAACGGGUGCUAAUACUGGAUAUUCACUGGUCUUCGCAUGGGGGUUGGUGGAAAGGGUUUUUCUGGUGGGGGAUGGCUCGCGGCCUAUCAGCUUGUUGGUGGGGUGAUGGCCUACCAAGGCUUUGACGGGUAGCCGGCCUGAGAGGGUGACCGGUCACAUUGGGACUGAGAUACGGCCCAGACUCCUACGGGAGGCGGCAGUGGGGAAUAUUGCACAAUGGGCGCAAGCCUGAUGCAGCGACGCCGCGUGAGGGAUGGAGGCCUUCGGGUUGUGAACCUCUUUCGCUCAUGGUCAAGCCGCAACAAUGGUUGUGGUGAGGGUAGUGGGUAAAGAAGCGCCGGCUAACUACGUG